This 301-nucleotide ribosomal RNA is filed under the name uncultured bacterium. RNAcentral describes it as "partial 16S ribosomal RNA". It matches the Rfam family "Bacterial small subunit ribosomal RNA", at positions 509 to 807 of the family's 1533-position model. The record is from RNAcentral.
CAGCCGCCACGAUAAUACAGAGGGUGCGAGCGUUAAUCGGAUUUACUGGGCGUAAAGCGUGCGUAGGCGGCUUUUUAAGUCGGAUGUGAAAUCCCUGAGCUUAACUUAGGAAUUGCAUUCGAUACUGGGAAGCUAGAGUAUGGGAGAGGAUGGUAGAAUUCCAGGUGUAGCGGUGAAAUGCGUAGAGAUCUGGAGGAAUACCGAUGGCGAAGGCAGCCAUCUGGCCUAAUACUGACGCUGAGGUACGAAAGCAUGGGGAGCAAACAGGAUUAGAUACCCCCGUAGUCCCUGUCUCUUAUAC